This 545-nucleotide ribosomal RNA is filed under the name uncultured eukaryote. Its description in RNAcentral is "bacterial SSU rRNA". It matches the Rfam family "Eukaryotic small subunit ribosomal RNA", at positions 548 to 1098 of the family's 1831-position model. The record is from RNAcentral.
UUGGAGGGCAAGUCUGGUGCCAGCAGCCGCGGUAAUUCCAGCUCCAAUAGCGUAUAUUAAAGUUGUUGCAGUUAAAAAGCUCGUAGUUGAACUUCAGACCCGGCCGGGCGGUCUGCCUCACGGUACGUACUGUCUGGCUGGGUCUUACCUCUCGGUGAGCCCGCAUGCUCUUUGCUGGGUGUGCGGAGGAACCGGGACGUUUACCUUGAGAAAAUUAGAGUGUUCAAAGCAGGCUAUUGCCCGAAUACAUUAGCAUGGAAUAAUAGAAUAGGACAUCGGUUCUAUUUUGUUGGUUUCUAGGACCGCUGUAAUGAUUAAUAGGGAUAGUCGGGGGCGUCCGUAUUCAAUUGUCAGAGGUGAAAUUCUUGGAUUUAUUGAAGACGAACUACUGCGAAAGCAUUCGCCAAGGAUGUUUUCAUUAAUCAGUGAACGAAAGUUAGGGGAUCGAGGACGAUCAGAUACCGUCGUAGUCUUAACCAUAAACUAUGCCGACUAGGGAUCGGACGGUGGUUUUUUUAUGCCCCGUUCGGCGCCUUACGGGAAAC